AUUUUGAAUUUAAAGAAAACAUAACCUUCCAUAUUUCCAAAAAAAUCAAAACUUUUAAUUUAUUACCAAAAAAUAACAAAUGGAAAUUAAUUUCAAAUUUCAUUACCGUAUCCAAAAUAAAUCUUUAAAUGAUUAAAAUAAUGGGUACGCGAAAAACGGUUUUUACGGAAAUACCCGGUUUUCAGGCAUUCCCGCGCUUAGUUUUGAAUCCCAACUUUUAGGCGGGGGACUGAAUUAAUUGACGUUAAUGGCCGGUCACACACGUCAAUAGACAUCUGUGUUCCCAUAUGGAAAUGUCGAGAUUGCCCGGUCAUUGUCCUCAUUGCCAUCUGGAGAAUCUUUUGUUUAGUAUCUACUUCUAUAGCUAUAGGAGUAAAUGACCAUGGAAGAAAUGAGGGACAAAUUCCAAACAGCAUUAAACAUAAUGGUCAGUAGUAAAAGAGAUGACAAUAAGUUUUUAUUGAAUAAAACUGAAUAUCAGCAAAAAAUCUUGGAUGUGAAGGCAGCUAAAAUAAUACUUAAAACACCAUCGUCGCCAAAGACCCAAUCUCAUUAUAGACUUGUUAGAAGGUAUGAUAUAUUAACCCAGGAUAAUCGAGAGAGGUUGAUACGACCAGCAGAUGACAGCAACCACCUACUGUAUUAUGUUACAAAUGAAGAAUUAUUUGACAUUUUAUACUCGACUCAUAUGGAACUAAAUCAUGGAGGGCGAAACAGGAUGGGAGCCGAACUAAAAACUAAAUAUUGUAACAUAACUAAAGAGGUUAUAAUGGUCUUUCUAAGGUUCUGUGGUCAUUGUCAAAAUAAAACUCCUAUAGGAGGAAGGAAGAAACCAGUGUCCAAGCCAGCCAUUCAUUCUAAAAAGUCCAGUGUUCAUGUUGAUUUAAUUGACAUGAAAACACACUCUUACAGUGGUUACCAAUUUAUUUUGGUCCAUCAAGAUAAAGCCACCAAAUUCAUACAUCUUAAAGCAUUGAAAUCCAAAGAAGUGGAUGAAAUUGUGAGACACUUGUUAGAUAUUUAUACCACUUUUGGAGCCCCAGCAAUAUUAAACUCUAAUCAGGGAAGAGAAUUUAUCAUUUCUAUAAUAACCGAGCUGCAGAGGCAAUGGAAGGAUAUAAAGAUGGUGCAUGGGAAACCCUUGCAUGGGCAUAGUGAAACUAUGUUAGAAACCAGAAAUAAAGAUUUGGAAGAGAUGACUGUGGCUUGGAUGAAGGAUAAUAAGACUCUGGAUUGGCCUUCGGGGAUUAAGUUUAUACAGUUUAGGAAGAAUUCUGCCUUUCAUACGGGCAUAAAACCUAGGGAAGGAGGAAGGUGAACAUUUUCUUACCCAUGUAAUGUUUUAUUUACAUUCAACUUCUCACUUGCUCUGAAUGUGGAAUGGGCAACCAAAGGAUGUAUGUAAGAUGAGUUCCAAAAGAAUUGCCUCCUGCAAUUUCCUGCUUGUGCUUUUUGAAGACCAGUUAUUGGUUCAAGCAUAUGUAAGCAAUAAAGAGCCAAGAUUCUAUUUUGCACAAAAAGAUACCAACAAGAUUCACGACACCUCACUAUACAAAGGACUCUAAUUGCUCUUUUUUGCAGAAAAAAUACUGUAAUAAAGUAGAACAUUUUGGAAACUGUUUCAACUUUCAGGUUAGCCAUCUAAGUAUUCAGUCACUUGGACACAAGAUUCAGGAACUUGAAUGUCUGGAUAAUGAGAGUAAUGUUGGUUUUUUUGAAAACUGCUGACAUGUCAUAUCAGUUAUGAUUUUUUUUCCAUUAGUUAGUUCCUACUGUAGGUCAGCUGGCUCACCUGGUGGCGUCACAAUAUUUGUUAUGGAGUCAUUUUUCUACAAACUAAGUCUAGACUUUCUGGGGUUGUCAGUGACUGUCAGCUGUGGGGUUUCUGCCGUACAAUCUGAUGAGGUAUCGGUAAAUCACCUUAUGAAGCAAUGUUUGGAUCUCCAGCAGGACUGGGACUUCUAUCAACUCCCCAAAGUGAGACGUCUAUAAAAAGUGAUUCUGAGGAGGAGCUUAAUUCACUACUAAGCAGUGAAAAGGCGACCCCUCAAAGAAACGAGGAAAUCGUCAUGGAAAUCUCUCCAGAGACACUUAAAAAUUACUAUAUGCAAUGAAUUUGCAUAGAAAUAUGUUGUUUCUAUAGCGAAAACGCGAGAAGUGAUGGAUUUUCAAUAAAUCCAGUUAAAAGUCUAAAAUAUUGGGAAGAAUAUGGUGUAGGAAUGGCUAUUCUAUAUUUUCCUGAUAAGCAACAUUUCUUUGUAUAUAAGUUUGUCUGUGAUUAAACGGGAUGUUUUAUUCUUA
Anthonomus grandis grandis is the source of this 2301-nucleotide RNA transcript. It is a transcript of the gene named KRAB-A domain-containing protein 2-like, with no coding region annotated. Lineage: Eukaryota; Metazoa; Arthropoda; Insecta; Coleoptera; Curculionidae. The transcript is spliced from 4 exons. The record is from RefSeq and is a predicted model, not a curated record.